Molecule: unclassified non-coding RNA, 303 nt
Filed under: Urnula sp.
Lineage: Eukaryota; Fungi; Ascomycota; Pezizomycetes; Pezizales; Sarcosomataceae
Description: partial contains 5.8S ribosomal RNA, internal transcribed spacer 2, and large subunit ribosomal RNA
Rfam family: 5.8S ribosomal RNA (bases 1-71)
Source: RNAcentral
GUGAAUCAUCGAAUCUUUGAACGCACAUUGCGCCUUCUGGUAUUCCGGGAGGCAUGCCUGUCCGAGCGUCAUGAAAACCCAUCCUCAAGCAUGCUUUGCUUGGUAUUGGGGGAAGAUGGUCAUCAUCUCCCCUGGAAUUCCUCAGCGGAAAAGCCUUCCCCGUCCACAGGUGUGAUAAUUACUGUUCGCCCGGUGACUGGAAGCAUGUUCCUGCUGUCAAUAGCCCCCCCAGCUUCUUCAUGAGUUUGACCUCGGAUCAGGUAGGGAUACCCGCUGAACUUAAGCAUAUCAAUAAGCGGAGGA